CAUACGGGGGGCAGCAGUGGGGAAUAUUGGACAAUGGGGGCAACCCUGAUCCAGCCAUGCCGCGUGUGUGAAGAAGGCCCUCGGGUUGUAAAGCACUUUCAGUGAGGAAGAACGCCUGGUGGUUAAUACCCAUCAGGAAAGACAUCACUCACAGAAGAAGCACCGGCUAACUCCGUGCCAGCAGCCGCGGUAAUACGGAGGGUGCGAGCGUUAAUCGGAAUUACUGGGCGUAAAGCGCGCGUAGGUGGCUUGAUAAGCCGGUUGUGAAAGCCCCGGGCUCAACCUGGGAACGGCAUCCGGAACUGUCAAGCUAGAGUGCAGGAGAGGAAGGUAGAAUUCCCGGUGUAGCGGUGAAAUGCGUAGAGAUCGGGAGGAAUACCAGUGGCGAAGGCGGCCUUCUGGACUGACACUGACACUGAGGUGCGAAAGCGUGGGUAGCAAACAGGAUUAGAUACCCUGGUAGUC
RNAcentral lists this ribosomal RNA (465 nucleotides) under Vreelandella stevensii. Its description in RNAcentral is "partial 16S ribosomal RNA". It matches the Rfam family "Bacterial small subunit ribosomal RNA", at positions 338 to 795 of the family's 1533-position model. Lineage: Bacteria; Pseudomonadati; Pseudomonadota; Gammaproteobacteria; Oceanospirillales; Halomonadaceae. The record is from RNAcentral.